AACGAACGCUGGCGGCAUGCCUAACACAUGCAAGUCGAACGAGACCUUCGGGUCUAGUGGCGCACGGGUGCGUAACGCGGGGGAACCUGCCCUUAGGUUCGGAAUAACUCCCCGAAAGGGGUGCUAAUACCGGAUAAUGUCUUCGGACCAAAGAUUUAUCGCCUUUGGAUGGGCCCGCGUUGGAUUAGGUUGUUGGUAGGGUAAAAGCCUACCAAGGCGACGAUCCAUAGCUGGGCUGAGAGGGUGAUCAGCCACACUGGGACUGCGACACGGCCCAGACUCCUACGGGAGGCAGCAGUGGGGAAUAUUGGACAAUGGGCGAAAGCCUGAUCCAGCGAUGCCGCGUGAGGGAUGAAGGUCUUAGGGUUGUAAAGCUCUUUUACCCGGGAUGAUAAUGACAGUACCGGGAGAAUAAGCUCCGGCUAACUCCGUG
RNAcentral lists this ribosomal RNA (433 nucleotides) under uncultured bacterium. Its description in RNAcentral is "partial 16S ribosomal RNA". It matches the Rfam family "Bacterial small subunit ribosomal RNA", at positions 29 to 507 of the family's 1533-position model. The record is from RNAcentral.